Molecule: long non-coding RNA, 1223 nt
Filed under: Lathyrus oleraceus (garden pea)
Lineage: Eukaryota; Viridiplantae; Streptophyta; Magnoliopsida; Fabales; Fabaceae
Description: Pisum sativum (pea) long non-coding RNA (PSAT_LNC009932)
Source: RNAcentral
CGUGCGCAGCCUCUGACCAGAAAAUUCAACACUCAGAUCACCAAGCCACCAUCAUCCACCGCGCUGGAGGUCUCCUCCGCCGGCGGUGGAACACCAUAGUACAAAUUAAAACCAUCAUCGGGACCGUGACAACAUGCUUAUUUCGAAAUCGAGGUUAGUUUUAAUAGAUUGCUACCCUAAGAUCCAAAUAUAGGGGGAAAUCAUGAAGAACCUUAUAUCUUUAGGGAUAAAUUAAAUGACGAUGGUUCAUGGAUUCAUGACCAAACCUUAGGGCUAAUGGUCCCUAGAGUAUUGUCUACGAAAUGGUAACAAGAUCAUGGCAAAAAGAGAAGAAGAAUGUUUAUCUAUGAAACAGAGAUUUAUUCCAGCGAACGUUGAAUCAGAGAAGAUGAAGAUGCGACGGAAAAUCACUUGAACCAGGUAACUUUUGAUCCUAUCUUCCUUCUUUGAUUCUCUUCUUCUUCUGAAACUUCUUCUAUAAUCGAGAUAUGGAUGAAAUUAGAGGUAAUCAAGAGAGAUUGAACUGAGAGGAGGUUAUGCUCUACUCUAAUGAAGCUUCGAGGUGAAGCUUUAAUGGAGUAUUCUGAGAGCUCUGUGUGAGGGUGAAGAGAGGUUAUGAGAUGAAAAUUGAAUCUCAAAAUUUUGAGAAAUGUGAAAAUGAAUCAUGAUCCCCUGAAGAGUGAAUGAAUGAUUGUAUUUAUAGAUGUUAGGUCCUUCAAAUUUCUGUUAGAAAUUACAAAUGAAAUUCAACUAAAAUUCACAAGUUAGUUGGAAAUUGGAAUUCAGUUAGCUUGUGUCAGUUAGUUUCAAUUAGUGUGAAAGGUUUUGUGUUGUUGUGCAUAGGUUAGUUAAUGUGGUCUGCAAUCAUUUGUGUUGUUACUUGAGAGAUGCAGGGUUAAGUGAUUUUUUGAAUUUUGCUCUAUUACGAAUUUUGUAAGUGGAUGUGUUAUGAAUGAAAGGGAUAACUUGGUGUAUUGCAGGAUGAUGCAAAAUGAAUUGGGUGCAAUUUUUGUUAUGCCCUCAUGUAUGCUCAUGAUAAUGUCAUGUUGUAUUACAUGAUGAAUUGAUCUUCUUGUUGUUGAACAUUGCAGGUUGUUUAACAGGUCAACUUUUGCAAAAAUGUAAUUUUGAUUUCUCUUUGUAAUGAAACAAUGUAUUCUUUGGUAAAUAAUUGAAAAUCAAUGUUUUGAAUGGAAUGAUCAGGAGUGUUUGUGGAUUAAAAA